RNAcentral lists this ribosomal RNA (1294 nucleotides) under Escherichia coli. RNAcentral's name for it is "partial 23S ribosomal RNA". It matches the Rfam family "Bacterial large subunit ribosomal RNA", at positions 1528 to 2801 of the family's 2925-position model. The record is from RNAcentral. Lineage: Bacteria; Pseudomonadati; Pseudomonadota; Gammaproteobacteria; Enterobacterales; Enterobacteriaceae.
UUUUCCAGGCAAAUCCGGAAAAUCAAGGCUGAGGCGUGAUGACGAGGCACUACGGUGCUGAAGCAACAAAUGCCCUGCUUCCAGGAAAAGCCUCUAAGCAUCAGGUAACAUCAAAUCGUACCCCAAACCGACACAGGUGGUCAGGUAGAGAAUACCAAGGCGCUUGAGAGAACUCGGGUGAAGGAACUAGGCAAAAUGGUGCCGUAACUUCGGGAGAAGGCACGCUGAUAUGUAGGUGAAGCGACUUGCUCGUGGAGCUGAAAUCAGUCGAAGAUACCAGCUGGCUGCAACUGUUUAUUAAAAACACAGCACUGUGCAAACACGAAAGUGGACGUAUACGGUGUGACGCCUGCCCGGUGCCGGAAGGUUAAUUGAUGGGGUUAGCGGUAACGCGAAGCUCUUGAUCGAAGCCCCGGUAAACGGCGGCCGUAACUAUAACGGUCCUAAGGUAGCGAAAUUCCUUGUCGGGUAAGUUCCGACCUGCACGAAUGGCGUAAUGAUGGCCAGGCUGUCUCCACCCGAGACUCAGUGAAAUUGAACUCGCUGUGAAGAUGCAGUGUACCCGCGGCAAGACGGAAAGACCCCGUGAACCUUUACUAUAGCUUGACACUGAACAUUGAGCCUUGAUGUGUAGGAUAGGUGGGAGGCUUUGAAGUGUGGACGCCAGUCUGCAUGGAGCCGACCUUGAAAUACCACCCUUUAAUGUUUGAUGUUCUAACGUUGGCCCGUUAUCCGGGUUGCGGACAGUGUCUGGUGGGUAGUUUGACUGGGGCGGUCUCCUCCUAAAGAGUAACGGAGGAGCACGAAGGUUGGCUAAUCCUGGUCGGACAUCAGGAGGUUAGUGCAAUGGCAUAAGCCAGCUUGACUGCGAGCGUGACGGCGCGAGCAGGUGCGAAAGCAGGUCAUAGUGAUCCGGUGGUUCUGAAUGGAAGGGCCAUCGCUCAACGGAUAAAAGGUACUCCGGGGAUAACAGGCUGAUACCGCCCAAGAGUUCAUAUCGACGGCGGUGUUUGGCACCUCGAUGUCGGCUCAUCACAUCCUGGGGCUGAAGUAGGUCCCAAGGGUAUGGCUGUUCGCCAUUUAAAGUGGUACGCGAGCUGGGUUUAGAACGUCGUGAGACAGUUCGGUCCCUAUCUGCCGUGGGCGCUGGAGAACUGAGGGGGGCUGCUCCUAGUACGAGAGGACCGGAGUGGACGCAUCACUGGUGUUCGGGUUGUCAUGCCAAUGGCACUGCCCGGUAGCUAAAUGCGGAAGAGAUAAGUGCUGAAAGCAUCUAAGCACGAAACUUGCCCCG